This 429-nucleotide ribosomal RNA is filed under the name Fusobacteriota bacterium. Its description in RNAcentral is "Fusobacteria bacterium partial 16S ribosomal RNA". It matches the Rfam family "Bacterial small subunit ribosomal RNA", at positions 355 to 776 of the family's 1533-position model. The record is from RNAcentral. Lineage: Bacteria; Fusobacteriati; Fusobacteriota.
UGGGGAAUCUUCCGCAAUGGACGAAAAUCUGACGGAGCAACGCCGCGUGAGUGAAGACGGCCUUCGGGUUGUAAAGCUCUGUGAUCCGGGACGAAAGAGCCUGAGGUAAAUAGCCUAAGGAAGUGACGGUACCGGAAAAGCAAGCCACGGCUAACUACGUGCCAGCAGCCGCGGUAAUACGUAGGUGGCAAGCGUUGUCCGGAAUUAUUGGGCGUAAAGCGCGCGCAGGCGGCUUACUAAGUCCAUCUUAAAAGUGCGGGGCUUAACCCCGUGAUGGGAUGGAAACUGGAAAGCUGGAGUAUCGGAGAGGAAAGUGGAAUUCCUAGUGUAGCGGUGAAAUGCGUAGAGAUUAGGAAGAACACCGGUGGCGAAGGCGACUUUCUGGACGAAAACUGACGCUGAGGCGCGAAAGCGUGGGGAGCAAACAGG